GGACUACUAGGGUAUCUAAUCCUGUUUGCUCCCCGCACUUUCGCGCCUCAGCGUCAGUCUUCGGCUGGAAGUUCGCCUUCGCCACCGGUGUUCUUCCUGAUAUCUACAGAUUUCACCCCUACACCAGGAAUUCCAACUCCCCCUCCAAAACUCUAGUCUCACAGUUUCCAACGCAGUUCCCAAGUUAAGCUCAGGUAUUUCACGUCAGACUUGCAAAACCGCCUACGCGCCCUUUACGCCCAAUAAUUCCGAACAACGCUCGCCCCUUACGUGUUACCGCGGCUGCUGGCAC
This 292-nucleotide ribosomal RNA is filed under the name uncultured bacterium. RNAcentral describes it as "partial 16S ribosomal RNA". The record is from RNAcentral.